UACGUAGGGGGCGAGCGUUGUCCGGAAUCACUGGGUGUAAAGGGUGCUCAGGCGGAUCGGUAAGUCAGGGGUGAAAUUUCACAGCUUAACUGUGAAUGUGCUUUUGAUACUGCCGGUCUAGAGUUCAGAAGAGGGCAAUGGAAUUCUUGGUGUAGCGGUGAAAUGCGUAGAUAUCAAGAAGAACACCAGUUGCGAAGGCGGUUGCCUGGUCUGUAACUGACGCUCAAGCACGAAAGCGUGGGGAUCAAACAGG
Molecule: ribosomal RNA, 253 nt
Filed under: uncultured bacterium
Lineage: Bacteria
Description: partial 16S ribosomal RNA
Rfam family: Bacterial small subunit ribosomal RNA
Source: RNAcentral